Molecule: long non-coding RNA, 1344 nt
Filed under: Apteryx rowi (Okarito brown kiwi)
Lineage: Eukaryota; Metazoa; Chordata; Aves; Apterygiformes; Apterygidae
Description: lncRNA (ENSARWG00000017817.1)
Source: RNAcentral
AGCAGAUAAGGGUCUGUUUUUGCAGAGUCCGUUCUUUGUCCGUGACUAUGUUUUGGUGAAUGAAAUCAUCACAGUGCAGACAGCAGUGUGACUAUACAGGAAAGGAGGCCACUAGCCCCUUAGUUACAAUCCCCACUAGGUUGUGUGCUCCCAGCUUUGGACAAGUCAUUUAACCUUUGUGUGGCUCCUCUUCUCAAAGCCCUUGACAUUCUGCACAGCCAGCAGAAUGGCACAUUUCUUAAUGGCAACUGGGAAUCAAAAAGGAACUUCAAAGUGAGAAGUAAAAAUAACUGGAAGGCUUUGGUGGCCAAAUUAAGAGAGAUGAAAGUCAACCUCCCAUUGAGAUCAGAAGAGCUGGACUCCCUCUCCAGUGCCUGGAUGACCAGCAUAAGCCAUUCUCAACAGCAACAGUGGGAAGAUGAUUGCAGGAAGGAAUGUGGAGGGAAAGAAAUAAAAUAAGCCCCAUAUGACAGAUACCAGUCCCAUUGUACUACUGAAGAGGCCUACAGCGAACUGCUAGAGAAGAACUUGUAUGAAAUGCAAUGAAGUUGGUAACAUAAUGGGAGAUGCCCUGAAGAAUGGCUUUAAGUAAGACACCCGAAUAUAUCUAGGCCAAUUGAAGAAUGAGGAGGAAUACCAAGCAACCCUUCCUGCUGGUGAGAUCUACUAGACUAGGCUCCAUCAUUACAGAAUAGACAGAACAGAAAUGUGAUCAGUCAUACUCAAACAGAAAGAUAUAGACUAUUCCUACUCUUGGGAAUUCAACAUAGCAAGAGCUAUCUGCUUUGAGGGAGAUAGAAACAAAACAGAAGCUAGAGGAGACUAGCUACAGAUUUAUUUUUGCAAAAACAGCAGAUGCAUGGAAGGGUUGACCUACACAGUAUAUUAAAUAUAGCACUUGGCCUUCAUCACUACUUAUUGUUUGAUAUGUCUUCUCUCCACAGCUCAGAAGCAUGAAUCCUCAUCAAUUAAACAAUGCUGGAUGUAGUUUUAAAACCCUGCUCCAGAGCCACAUCCAGAAACUCAAGACAACUGGCUAUAUCUGAGCCAGUGGAUUUUGACUUGAAAACAAAGAAAAACCCUCCUAUGAACUGAAAGGUCUAUUGCUAUCAGUUUGUCCUCAUUGAAAAAGAACCAUUAUCUGCUUCCUUAGGGUCAAAGGCAAAUAAUUUAUGAAUACAAGAGAAUAAGGAUAAAGGAAUCCUCCAACCAGAGGACUAUACAUUUUGAGACAGCCUGUUGUUGUCAGAUCGUGGCAUGGUGUUCCCAUUGUCACUGGUCUGAUUAAACAGGGAAAUUGGUUAAAAAAAAAAGAAAUAAAUAAAUAAAGCUCAGAGUUUUUCA